Molecule: non-coding RNA, 596 nt
Organism: Oryza punctata
Lineage: Eukaryota; Viridiplantae; Streptophyta; Magnoliopsida; Poales; Poaceae
Source: Rfam
GCUCAUGAGCUUAUUAUCCUAGGUCGGAACAAAUUAGUUGAUAGUGAUAGGAUCCCCUUUUUGUUUAAGUCAUCAACUUCUUUUCUCGGAGAAGAAACAAUGACGGUAUCUGAGGAAUAAGCAUCUGCUAACUCUGUGCCAGCAGCCGCGGUAAGACAGAGGAUGCAAGCGUUAUCCGGAAUGAUUGGGCGUAAAGCGUCUGUAGGUGGCUUUUCAAGUCCGCCGUCAAAUCCCAGGGCUCAACCCUGGACAGGCGUUGGAAACUACCAAGCUGGAGUAUAGUAGGGGCAGAGGGAAUUUCCGGUGGAGCGAUGAAAUGCAUUGAGAUCGGAAAUCUGUUGGGCCGACACUGAUACUGAGAGAUGAAAGCUAGCGGAGCAAAUGGGAUUAGAGACCCAAGUAGUCCUAGCCGUAAACGAUGGAUACUAGGUGCUGUGCGACUCGACCCGUGCAGUGCUGUAGCUAAUGCGUUAAGUAUCCCGCCUGGGGAGUACGUUCGCAAGAAUGAAACUCAAAGCAAUUGAUGGGGGCCCGCUGUCACGCCCAGAGAUUCGCUAACCCGAAUUCCAAACAGAAUGUGUAUUAAAAACCCCUGU